GUAGUCCACGCCGUAAACGAUGGGUACUAGGUGCUUCGGGGAGCGACCCCUGGAGUGCCGGCGCUAACGCAGGAAGUACCCCGCCUGGGGAGUACGGCCGCAAGGCUGAAACUCAAAGGAAUUGACGGGGGCCCGCACAAGCGGUGGAGCAUGUGGUUUAAUUCGACGCAACGCGAAGAACCUUACCCAGGCUUGACAUGCACAGGAAGUAUGGCAGAAACGCCAUACGCUCUUCGGAGUCUGUGCACAGGUGCUGCAUGGCUGUCGUCAGCUCGUGUCGUGAGAUGUUGGGUUAAGUCCCGCAACGAGCGCAACCCCCGUUCCUAGUUGCCAGCGAGUAAUGUCGGGGACUCUAGGAAGACUGCCGGUGCGAAACCGGA
RNAcentral lists this ribosomal RNA (380 nucleotides) under uncultured bacterium. RNAcentral describes it as "bacterial SSU rRNA". It matches the Rfam family "Bacterial small subunit ribosomal RNA", at positions 790 to 1167 of the family's 1533-position model. The record is from RNAcentral.